AUGAUGAUAGGGUUAAGAUUUUUACAACAAUCUUUACAAACCACAAUCAUACAUGAAGAGGGGGUAACAUUUAUUCCUUAUCAAAAUAAUGUUCCAUACAUAUCUGAAGUGCGAAAACAAAGAAAGUCCUUACAAAAUGUAGAAAUAUCUAAUUUAGAUGAUGAAUAUAGCACAAGUCCAGAUCCCCUUGAAUUCUGUAAAGACGAAGAACUUAGUGAGACCAUAGAAGAAUAUCAUAUAGAAAAUACAUGUACUGAAUGCAUUGGGUUGCAAUCAUUCUCUCCAAAUUGGUAUAGAGAUAUAAAAUCUAAAAAGGAUAUAGAUAAGAUUGUGCAAAGACUAGAAAGUAUACAAAUUAUUGGAGAAAUACCAAUGAAACAUUGGGAUAAGAACUCUAUAGUUUGCAAAAUAAAUAUCAUAAAUCCAGAUUAUAUAAUUAAGUCAGCACCAAUAGAAGCAACUCCUAAAGAUAUCGAAGAGUUCAAAAUGCAUAUUGAAGAGUUAUUAAAGUUAAAAGCUAUAAGAGAAAGCAGAAGCCCUCAUCGAUCUGCUGCUUUUAUAGUUAGAAAUCAUGCUGAAGAAGUUAGAGGUAAAUCUAGAAUGGUAAUUAACUUUAAAAGGCUUAAUGAUAAUACAGUUGACGAUGCAUACAACAUACCUAAUAAGCAGGAAUGGAUUAACAGAAUACAAGGAAGUAAAUAUUUCUCCAAAUUCGAUUUAAAGGCAGGAUUUUGGCAAGUAAAAAUGGCUGAAGAAUCUAUUCCAUGGACAGCAUUUACUUGUCCACAAGGCCAUUAUGAAUGGCUAGUAAUGCCAUUAGGCCUAAAGAAUGCACCUGCACUAUUUCAAAGAAAGAUGCAAAAUAUAUUUAAUGAGAAUCAAGCAUUUAUAUUAGUAUACGUAGAUGAUUUGUUAGUAUUCUCAAAAUCAUACAAAGAGCAUAUAGCCCAUCUUGAAGUGUUCUUUCGAAAGGUAGAACAAAAUGGGCUCAUACUAUCUAAAAAGAAGAUGGAGAUUUGCAAAGAGAAAAUAAAUUUCCUCGGUCAUGAAAUAGGAGAAGGAAAAAUAUAUCUACAAGAACAUAUUGCAAAGAAAAUAUUAGAGUUUCCUGAUAAUAUGAGUGAUAAAAAGGUUUUACAACAGUUCUUAGGAAUUGUAAACUAUGCGCGAAACUAUAUAGAUAACUUAGCAAAGCUAGCAGGACCUUUAUAUGCUAAAUUAAGAAAAAAUGGUCAAAGAUACUUCAAUUCUGAAGACAUAAAAUUAGUAAAGGCCAUCAAGGAAAAGGUCAGGAAUUUAAAACCCCUAGAAUUGCCUCUAGAAGACAAUUAUUUUAUAAUUGAGACAGAUGCAUCUAAGGUAGGAUGGGGUGCGAUACUAAAACGAAAGCCCAAUAAAUACUCUCCAAAGGAAGACGAAAAAAUAUGCAGAUAUGCUUCAGGAAGUUACAAAUUAAAGACGGUAAAUAAUAUUGAUAGAGAAAUUCUUGCAGUUGUAAAUGCAAUAAAUGCAUUUAGGUUAUAUCUAGGAUUUAAAGAAUUUACAGUACGAACAGACUGUGAAGCCAUAUGCCGAUAUUACAAUAAAAUUAAUAUUAAGAAAAGCUCAACCAGAAGAUGGGUCUUAUUUGAAGACACCAUAGCUAGGAAUGGUUAUAAAGUUAUUUUGAGCAUAUUAAGGGGAAGGAUAAUACCUUACCUGACAUAUUUUCUCGUGCAUCAAAUUUGCAGGAAUGAGGAAAGAAUUAUUCGCCAACAAGGAUGA
This 1764-nucleotide ribosomal RNA is filed under the name Triticum aestivum (bread wheat). RNAcentral's name for it is "partial small subunit ribosomal RNA". Lineage: Eukaryota; Viridiplantae; Streptophyta; Magnoliopsida; Poales; Poaceae. The record is from RNAcentral.